UCCAGACUCCUACGGGAGGCAGCAGUGGGGAAUAUUGGGCAAUGGGCGCAAGCCUUACCCAGCAAUACCGCGUGAGUGAAGAAGGUCUUCGGAUUGUAAAGCUCUUUGAUCAGGGACGAACAGAUGACGGUACCUGAAGAACAAGCACCGGCUAACUCCGUGCCAGCAGCCGCGGUAAUACGGAGGGUGCGAGCGUUAAUCGGAAUUACUGGGCGUAAAGCGCUCGUAGGCGGUAUGUCAAGUCAAGGGUGAAAUCCCCGCGCUCAACGUGGGAACUGCCUUUGAAACUGGCAAACUGGAGUGUGUGAGAGGAUAGUGGAAUUCCAGGUGUAGGAGUGAAAUCCGUAGAUAUCUGGAGGAACAUCAGUGGCGAAGGCGACUAUCUGGCACAUAACUGACGCUGAGGAGCGAAAGCGUGGGUAGCAAACAGGAUUAGAUACCCGGGUAUA
This 449-nucleotide ribosomal RNA is filed under the name uncultured bacterium. RNAcentral's name for it is "bacterial SSU rRNA". It matches the Rfam family "Bacterial small subunit ribosomal RNA", at positions 330 to 794 of the family's 1533-position model. The record is from RNAcentral.